UUUUUUUCCCACCUCCGCUUGUUUUCUCUCCGACGUCGGUCAAAACGCCGUUGUCUUCUCCUCGUUCGU
RNAcentral lists this small RNA (69 nucleotides) under Arabidopsis thaliana (thale cress). RNAcentral describes it as "ATSL123660". The record is from RNAcentral. Lineage: Eukaryota; Viridiplantae; Streptophyta; Magnoliopsida; Brassicales; Brassicaceae.